This is an RNA transcript of Drosophila obscura, 6597 nucleotides long. It is a transcript of the gene named protein kinase C-binding protein 1, with no coding region annotated. The transcript has 10 exons. The record is from RefSeq and is a predicted model, not a curated record. Lineage: Eukaryota; Metazoa; Arthropoda; Insecta; Diptera; Drosophilidae.
ACAAUUCUUGCGGGCAGAAGGCAGGUUCGCGGCAGUUUUGCAAAAAUAAAUAUAAACGUCAAUUAAAUAAGGAAAACGUGCAUCGAUUGCACACAGGCCACAAUCUGGGUCAGAAUUGUGGUGUGAAAUUGUUUGAUCAUUGUGCAGGAGGCAAGAAAAGAGACCAUAACAGCGACUCGUGGACGGCCGUCGCAAGAAAAGAAAUUGAUGUACACACAUUGCGGCAGCCACAACAACAAAAAGAGCAGCAGCAGCAGUGUCGCCAGGGAAAACACUCGAUAUCGGGAGAGUGGGACCAGAAUCUCGCUCAAAAUAUUUGCUGUUCUGUUUCGCCGACAUGGUAGCCGCCUAGCAGCCGCGUCCGGCCAUUGAGACAUCCUCCCAGGAUCACAUCUCUGAAGUGAAGCGGAGCUUUGCUAAAUCUACAUGGAAACGGACAGCAGCAACAGCAGGGACAGCGUGAACUCGAUACCGCGUCCUGAAUUCGAGGCCCUCUCCGCCAUCGACAGCCCCCAGCCAGUGCUGCUCCUUCAGGGGGACAGUCAUGAUACGGAGCCCAGUAUGCCCCACAAGCGACAAAAGUAUGUGGUGAGUGCCCCACCGGGGUCGGCUGCUGGCAGCAGCAACUCUUCCAACUCCAGUCCCUCGUCAGCACUCGGCCCCUCGCUGACGAUGAAGCUGACGAAGGUGCCGUCGCAGCCGCACCUGCAGGUUCAGGCGGACCCAAAGCCACUGGGAUCGUCAACGCCGAAGGAGGUCAAGACGCCGAAGGUGCCCAAGGAGAUGGUGGCCCUUCAGAAGUCACAAAUGGAGUCGGAGGUGCUCAGCCACUUUGUGGCAGAUGGCUCGAAGGUGAAGCGCCGCAAGUCGCGCUUUGCUACAAAUCAGCUAAUGAAAGAGGCCCAGGAAGCCGAGGAGGUGUCGUCCCGCAAGUCUUCCUCCAGCUCCAGGGGCCGCAGCAAGGGCAAGAAAAAUCAGUUUAAGACACGCAGCAAGAGCAUACCAAACCCGUCCUGGGACGGGGAAGAUACCGAUUGGGCAGAAGGCCAGAGGCUGGCGAAGAAAGCACGCCAAAUGCGGGGCCUUUCAAUGGCCAACGAUUGCGGAGAACGCCAGCUGGGACUCGAUGGCGAAGAUAGUAACAGUAACUCAACUGUGGAAUUGACACGCUCCAGUCAUCGCUCCCGCAGCAAGAGCCACUCGCUUAGCAACAGCUGCAGCAAUGAGGAGCAGCGCCCGGCGAAACGCGCCAAUCUACGCACCGAGAACGCGGAGUUUGCCAAGAAGCAACGCGCCUUCCUGGACAGCAUCAUAAGUGAUCCGGAAUCGGAGCAAAAUCCUCAAACUGUGAACGAGGUCGAUAGCGAUUGGAUCAACGCCUCGGCGGGCGGUGAGCAAGAUUCCGAUCUGUCGACGUUCUUGGAAUUCAAUAAUUCGAAUACAGAGAAGGAGCCAGAGCCAGAGGACAUAGUAUAUGACCGAUUGAUGCACAUCUACAAGACGCCACCACGGAAAGGUUGGGAUCCUUUCUGUUGGAAGUGCCGGGUAGCUGGAGACUUACAGGCUUGCAGCAAGUGUGUUCGCUCGUUCCAUAGCUAUUGCGUAAGGCCAGCCACGACGAAAUUCGAUAGCCACUGGAAGUGUCCCGAGUGUUUGCUGCUCGAACCUGGCCCCAAAAGGAUGCGCCGCAACGAAGUCUCCGCCGAUCAGCUGAGCCAGCUGCUGUUCUUUUCGCUCGAACGCAUGAAGCUAUUACGCGGACUCCCGAAGCUGCGUGCGCCCGAGGAUGUGUUGCCGGAAACCUACAAAAAAUUCUUUGUGCAUACCGUGAGCUUCGAGACCCUGACCGAGUGCAUCAGGAACAACGUCUUUGACUCUGCGGAUGCGUUCAUGAGCGAGGUCAAGUGGAUGCAUCACAAUGCGCUGAUAUUGGACUCUGGCGACAUCAAGGUGGAGACGCCGGCGAAGCAGUUGUUGAAGGUGUGCCGCGAGGAGACCAUGGAGAUAGACACCUGCCCCGAGUGCUAUCUGAAUGCCAACUCCAGCGACGAGUGGUUCGUGAAGGUGUGCCGCCACCCGCAUCUCUUGCUGUGGGCCAAGCUCAAGGGAUUCCCCUACUGGCCGGCCAAGGCUAUGGGCUUGACCGACAAGGGCAUGGUGAACGUGCGCUUCUUUGGCAAGCAUGAUCGCGCCCAUGUGCACGUGAAGGAUUGCUUCCUGUACUCGGCGCAGAAUCCCAAUAUACAGACCAGUCGUCGCAUGGCCCGAGAACUGGUCGACUGCAUCGCUGAGGUGGAGGUGCAUAUUGAGCAUAUCAAGCGUAAGAGUGGCUCCUUCUGCUACGCCCCCUAUCGCACCCCCUACGAUCCGGUCGUGGAGCAGCAGCAGGUCGAGGACAUGAUGCCAGGCGUAUACGCGGCCGUCGAUCGCACCAUGGAGCCGGCCAACAAGACGCCGCUGCAGUUUCUUAUUCGCAAAACGGCGGGCGAUAAGCUGUCCAUUGUGAAGAAGACAAAGGCCACCGAGUCGGGAAAUGAGUCCGAUCAGUCGGUUAGUCCGGCCAAGAAGCUGCCACCGCCGCCACCACCGCGACCAUUGCCGCAGCUUCAAGGCCUAGAAGAAGCCCCGGCUUCCAGCAGUGAGCAUGUCAAGCAGAAGAGCAACAACUACGAGGUCAUACCCCGUUCGGCUGAAUCGCUGACCGACUCUCGCUGCAAAGUGCUGCUCAAGCGGAAGAACCUGGCAGCAAAGACCACACCACCCACCGCCGCGGGCUCCAUGGAGAGUCCAGAGGUGGUUGGCAAGAGGCGUAAACAUUCCUUGAGCGAUACCAGCGGCACCUCCGAGUCGAGUCGUCGCGAAAAGCACACACAUGCACGCAAGCAGCAGGCAGAACAGGAACAGGCACGGGCACAGGAACAGCAAGCGAGUAAUCGGGCUAAUGAGCAGGAGGAGAAGAAGGACGAGUCGUCGCUGCUUUCUGGGUCGGAGAUGCAUUUACAAUUUUCAGAUUCACAAAACGAUACCGCGCCCGAUCCCCUCGGAUGGGUGGAUAUUGUUAGACGUCGUCAAGGCGUGACCAUAACCAAGAUACCACGCGAGCAGCAGCAGCAACAACAACAGCAGCAGGGUGCCUCGUCAACAAGUGGCGCCGCCUCUCCGGAAGCCGCCAAGCCAGCGCCCAAGCAGCCACCGGAGAGAGCCGAAGCAAAGGGCAUGAAGAGGUCCGAAGUUGAACGCCAGCAGGAGCAGCUCAUCAAGAAAGUGAUUCCAUUUGUCGAAGUUGAAGUCAAAGCCGAAGUGAUAUCGGAACCCGAGCCCGAGGAAGAAGCCCCCAAGCCGCAGGAGUCUGCCAAGAAGUCGCCUAAGCCAGCUAAGGAAAAACAUAAGCCCCCGGCAGAGAAGCCACAAAAUCAGAAAGCACAGAAGGAGCCAAAAGAGAAGGUUAAUCCACCGCAGGAACCGAGGAUUACAGUGCCUGUGCCCACACCACCGCCAGAACCAGUCGAGGCUCAGCCUGCUGCCGCUGUUGCGGAGCUCGUGACCAUCAAGGAGGAGAUUCUCAGUGAGGAGGAAGUGGAGGCGGAAACAGAGCCGGAGAUAGAGACCCACAUCGACAGACGUUGCUUGUUAUUGCCACAGGCAAUGCCGCCACCGCCGUCACAGCCCCUGGCCGUCAGAGUGGAGGCAGCGCAACCGAUGCGCGAGGAGACGCCCACAGUGCGCUAUGUGGGCGAUACAUCCAUCCAAAAGAUCAGCCACAAGCAGGCAGCGGCUAAGGCCAUGGACGCACCAUCCAAACGCAGGGGCGUACCAUAUGGCCCUCUGCCUCUGUCGGGGCAACCCUCCACCUCGCCAGCGCACUCGCCAGGCCCCUUGCCGGUCGUCAAACCACCUGGCGUGUCUGGCGUGUACGUGGUAAGCAAGCCGCCGACACCUGCACCGCCAAAUCUGCGACAAAAAAGUGACCGCAACAUGAAUUCCACUCAACCGGUGCCGCCGAUGCCACCGUCGUUGGGUGGUCUGCCCUCCACAUCCCCAACCACAUCGAGCCUGCUGCGAUCCAACAUGGUGGUCAUACCGGUGGAGCAGGCAAACGGCUGCAGUCUGAACAGCCCCAUGACGAUACCAGUUCCUCCCCUGCGAGCCGUGUCCAAGAGCACGCUCCAGAACUCGACGUUCCUACCAAGCAUUCCCAUUCCUCCUGGUCCUGGACUGUCCAGCACCAGUGUUUCUGGUGUUUCAAUGCCACCGCCGCUGGCGGGUCUGAGCAUGCCCCAGAUGGGCACGUCCACUUCUCAAGCCACCUCCAUGCCGCCCACUAUGGAACCGGGCGGCCUACUGGCCAACGCACUGAACGGACUGCCCAACGAGACCUUAGUGAGCGAGUCGCGACAGACUGAUUCGUUCCAGGCUCUGAAUGAAAUACUCAUUCGCUCUGGUCCGCCCAAGCUGGUGCCACGUCCCUGCGGUCCGCUGCAGUCGGAUGGCUCCCAAAUCUAUCCAUCGCAUGCCGGACCCGUCUCUCAACGUCUCAAAGACAAUGCAUACAAGAUCACGGACUACUUCAUAUCCGUAAUCGAGGACACGCUUACCGAUCUGGGGGCGGGUGAUCAGAGUUUGCUGCAGGCUCGCAUCACCAGUCUCACCCUGGAGAACGAGCGCCUCAGGCAGGAGUGCAGCCGCAAGAUUUCGGAUAUGAAGCGCUGCAACGAUCAGAUAGUCAAGGAGCUGCACAAGACGCUGGAUCAGGAGCACAAGCGCGUGAUCUGUGAGAUGCGUCAGCAGAGCACACUGGAACGCAAUCAUGCCGUCGACGAAACCAAGAAGAAACAGUGGUGCGCCAAUUGCAUGCGUGAGGCGCAGCUUUACUGCUGCUGGAACACCUCGUACUGCGACUAUCCCUGCCAGCAGAUGCACUGGCAACGUCACUCGACCACCUGCGGCCAGGCCGCCGCUCUGGGACUGGGGGAAACGAUCGAUUUGACGCCACCGCCGGUAUCAGAGCCCACUCGCUCCAGACCCAAGCCCACGAUUGCCAGUCCAAUGGCGACAGCGAUUGCCAGUCCGAUGGCUACAGCGAUGCCAGUAGCGACACCUGUACCCGCACCAGUACCGACACCAGCCCCAACGCCAGCACCCAGUAACGCGAUCCCCACCCCACAACUGCAUCGGACAGUCACCAGUGCGAUUCCGAUGCCAACCGCAUCGGGUUCGGGAUCUGGUGGAUCUCUUGCCGGGCCAGCCCCCAAAAAGUGGCAGAACAUGUCACUCAGCACUCAUCCCGCCAGUCAGGAGAGUUUGCUCAGACAGUCUGGUCCCCUGCUGGCCGGACUGCCAUCCAGCACAUACGUACGUCCAGUGGUCAGCGCUACGCAGCCCUCCUCGACAUCAGUCAGCAACGUGGUCAACACGACCUCAUUGAUAACACCAGCGCCGACAUCUUCAGCCCCGCAUAUUGCCACCAUCAUAGCCGCCGGCCCGCGUAACACUAUAAACACGUACAACUAUGGCAGCAGACUGCCCACCCCCCAGCCUAUGCCCAUGCAACAUUACAAUAUACCAGUACCCAUCUCUCUGCCCAACAAUAUUCCGUACACUGUGAUGGCGGAGCAGCCGCCAAAGCCAAAGUCCUCGGGUCGUCGAGGUCAAAAUCGCAACCGCAAUGGCAACAGCAGCAGCAGCAGCAACACCAACAAUGGCAACAGUACGAUGGGAAUGCGCCACAACCAAGUGAACCAAAUGCAGUUUCAGCAGUAAGCAAGGGGACUGGGACUGACUGUAAACUGUAAGGAGUACAUAAUUUCCCACCUGAAGAGACUGCCUGUGAUGGAUGAGGACAUCUUUUUUUUCUACAUAAUUCCCAGAUAUUCUAAAUAUCUCAGAAAAGAGAUUCUUUUUAUUUUUUUUCUUUACCCCGUAACCCCGUAUUAAAUAAAGGAGAACCCUUAAUAAAUAAUAUCAUUAAGUCUUUGGCAACGGACUACCAGAGAUUACGAGAAGAGGAUCUCGCACCGAAGGAGUGUAUAAAAAAAAGUCAUUUUUGUGUAAUUUUAAAAGAUAGGUGUAAGAGAAAAGCUACACUAAGUAGAUAGGCUAAGCAUAGCAAGUAUGAGUUGCAAACACACCUAAGGAUCAUCCACAUUCUCACUAACAACAGAAUCAAUCACAUUACAUCGAUUACAUAGAUUGUAUGUAUACUUAAACAAGCAAAGCUGCAUUAUUGAAGUCAGAAGAUAGCAAUUAAAAUGUAACUACAUGUUAGAAAUCGUUCGAAUGAUUACUCAAUCUUGAUUUAUCCACUAAACAAGUAAAUGAUAAACAAUUACAACACACACACACAUUUUAUUAUGCUAGCAAACACCUGUAAUGCAAAAUGAAUUCUCCCUUAUGAUGAUCGUAAUGCCACAAAAUGUUCAAUCAAUGUCCAACUUCUUGAAGUUACCCUCAAUGCCAAAGACAUCGGAGACGGUCUUGGCUUUUCCAGGCCUCAGUUUCUCAUUGACCUGAUGGCGCGUCUCAAACUCAAGCAUUUCCCUGCGAUUGUUCAACAGUUUCUUGUAAUAUAUCUCUGCAAAUGUGUCAAUAUAUAUAAUA